Homo sapiens (human) is the source of this 568-nucleotide long non-coding RNA. RefSeq annotates it as CDH10 antisense RNA 2. The transcript is spliced from 2 exons. NCBI's taxonomy places the organism in Eukaryota, Metazoa, Chordata, Mammalia, Primates, Hominidae. The record is from RefSeq and is a predicted model, not a curated record.
UACUUCAAUCUAACUCAAGCUCUUUCUCAGCAUCACUUUUAACUCUGGACAGCAGGGAACCGAAGAAAACGGGGGCGAGCUCUCUCUGAUUGGCUUUCAUUCAGUGCUUCUGAUUAAGGGGAAAGGAAAAAAAAAAAAAAGGAAAGGGGGGAAAAAAGCUCUUCCUCACACGGAGAGAAAGGUUCUGCUGAUAGAGCUGCAGCACUCGCCAUGGGAAGGUUAGAGACUGUGGAAGUGCUGGCUUCUGCGAGCACACAGCGAUUUGCAAGUGAAUGCGAGGGGAGGGCGCAUCCGAGAGGAGGGCUUUGCUUGAAAGGCGUCCCCUCCCCCGCAGGGCAGAAAGACUCUCUGUUUCAAGGCUAAGGGAACUUUCUCGGCUUGAUUUUCCAAAUCCCUUCUCUUGUUGCUUAUUGUCACAGGAGUGCAUACCUCGCUCAUCAUUUUGGAAUGUCCGCGAGCCAGUCUUCUCUGCCUAAUCUUUGCAUUUUAAUACUUUAUAGAUAAAAUAUUUUAUUAAAAAUGUAAAUAUGUAAUUAGUGUUAUUAAAAUAUUUAGACUUUGAACUUGA